GCCCCGAUAGCUCAAUUGGACAGAGCACCUCUCCCACUAAGGGGUGGAUGUGGGUUCGAGUCCUACCCGGGGCGCCC
Molecule: transfer RNA, 77 nt
Filed under: Chloroflexota bacterium
Lineage: Bacteria; Bacillati; Chloroflexota
Description: Chloroflexi bacterium tRNA-Val
Rfam family: tRNA
About the family: Transfer RNA (tRNA) molecules are approximately 80 nucleotides in length.
Source: RNAcentral